GGAGUGGAUUUUCUAAUCUGGCUGCUGCUCCUUGUAUAAAUAUGGGUUACAGUCACAUCACAGAAAUGGGAUUUUGAAGGAAGUGCUGAGGGGGAUUUUUUCAAAGAGCAAAACCUUUUCAGAGCAAACGCUUAUCAACUGAUUGUGGAAAUGGAGGACAUGAGUAACCUAACAGACGGAGACACCUCCUUCUUGGUGGAUGAGAUCCUUCAUAGCAUCUUCUUUAUGGGAAAGAUCACAUAUCUAUCAUUUUCACCUGAAGACAUCUUUCAUGGUGAUGAGAAGUUUUUGGAUUACAUGAGGGAGAUGUACCCCCGGCCCUUUGACCUCUACUCAUCCCAGAUACCCAAUCGGAGUCCGUUCUCAUGUGUGCUGGACAUGGUUGUACGCCUGUCUGGACCACAGGAAAAAGCGAGCUCACAAAACAACUUGCAGGAGAUACAAAACAAAUUGCGGGAGCUCAUCAGUAAGUUAAAACAACGUGAUAAUUCAAAGAUGUUGUUCUCCACCACCCUGUGCGUUUCCAGUGUCUCGGGUUCAAGUAAGUAUUACGGAGUCUCCAUGUCCACUCAUCGCAAGCCUGCCAGGCAAAUCAUGGUGGCUGCAGGGUGUCUGAGCUACUGGGACGACUGUGUAGCUGCGGCAGUGAUGAGCUACUGUCCUCAGAAAAGGAGGAAGAGUUACUUUGACGGAACCUUCCAGCUUCCUGCAGACGUCAGGUGUGAGGCCUUCAGCAUCGAGGGUCAGCGAAUGAUGGUUCCCUGCCGCUCGUGUAACAAUUUGUUUAACUUGGAGACAACAGAAACAAAAACAAAUCCUUAUGGAAACUGUGCUGAAACUGAAAGUUUGAGCAACUUAUUAAAGAAGGAAGAAAGAGUUAAACAGCAAGUUCAACGAUGUGUAAGUGAGAGAGUGAACGACCGGGAGAGGGCUGAGCGUGACGUCUUAAAGCAGCUCAAGCAGAUUCUGAAACCCUACAGCGGCUUCACAUGGGACAACAGUUACUACCGUCCUCUUGAUGUGUGA
RNAcentral lists this long non-coding RNA (1026 nucleotides) under Nothobranchius furzeri (turquoise killifish). RNAcentral's name for it is "lncRNA (ENSNFUG00015020638.1)". Lineage: Eukaryota; Metazoa; Chordata; Actinopteri; Cyprinodontiformes; Nothobranchiidae. The record is from RNAcentral.